RNAcentral lists this long non-coding RNA (670 nucleotides) under Nicotiana benthamiana. Its description in RNAcentral is "long non-coding RNA (NBEN_LNC038162)". Lineage: Eukaryota; Viridiplantae; Streptophyta; Magnoliopsida; Solanales; Solanaceae. The record is from RNAcentral.
ACUUGCCCGAAUCCUUAAAACUCCACCAUUAACAUCAAAAUCUUUGUUUUUCAUCAUAUUAAUGCCUAUGUUCCAUCAAAACUUCCAAAACUCGCAUUCGAUCAAUAGCCUAACCAAAACACGUCCGAUUGAUCUGAAACUUUGCACACACGUCCAAAUGAUAUGACGGUGCUACAACUACUUCUGAAAUCCCGUUCCAACCCUUGGAUAAAAUUUCACUACCAGUCCAGAAACUCCAAAAUUCUAACUUUCGGCAUUUCUAGCCUUAAUGAGCUACAGACAUCCAAAAUGCAUUCUGAACACGCUCUCAACCCCGAAAUCACCUAGCGGAUCUAAUGGAACCAUAGGGUUUCCAUUCCCAGGUCGUCUUGACACUAUUCUGAAUAUGGACCAUUUUUCAACACUUAAGAUCUCAUUUAGGGACUAAGUAUUCCAAAACACAUUGAAUUCUAUUACCGAACAUCCCGGCAAACCAAAAUAGCAGAAAUGAAUUUAGGGGAAGAAGUUAAUGGGGAAGCGGGGCAUAAAUUCCAAAGACGACCGACAGGGUCGUCACAAGCGAGUUGUGGAACAAAAGUUGGCAAAGAUCAUCACAAGUUACAUUCAUAAAUAUGCUGCAAAAUUAUGUCAACUGUAGCGGAGCGCUUUUCCCAAUAUGCUUGGAAUUAUA